RNAcentral lists this ribosomal RNA (301 nucleotides) under uncultured bacterium. RNAcentral describes it as "partial 16S ribosomal RNA". It matches the Rfam family "Bacterial small subunit ribosomal RNA", at positions 509 to 807 of the family's 1533-position model. The record is from RNAcentral.
CAGCAGCCGCGGUAAUACGGAGGGUGCAAGCGUUAAUCGGAAUUACUGGGCGUAAAGCGUGCGUAGGCGGUUCGUUAAGUUUGUUGUGAAAGCCCCGGGCUCAACCUGGGAAUGGCAAUGGAUACUGGCGAGCUAGAGUGUGUCAGAGGAUGGUGGAAUUCCCGGUGUAGCGGUGAAAUGCGUAGAGAUCGGGAGGAACAUCAGUGGCGAAGGCGGCCAUCUGGGACAACACUGACGCUGAGGCACGAAAGCGUGGGGAGCAAACAGGAUUAGAUACCCCUGUAGUCCCUGUCUCUUAUAC